ACUACGGGAGGCUGCAGUGGGGAAUAUUGCACAAUGGGGGAAACCCUGAUGCAGCGACGCCGCGUGAGUGAAGAAGCGUUUCGGCGCGUAAAGCUCUGUCAGCGGGGAAGAAACACGGUUCGCGAGAGCCGCGGACGGUACCCGACCAAGAAGCCCCGGCUAACUACGUGCCAGCAGCCGCGGUAAUACGUAGGGGGCUAGCGGUAUCCGGAUUCACUGGGUGUUAAGGGAGCGUAGACGGCGAGACAAGUCUGGCGUGAAAAGCCGUGGGCCAACCCCGGGACUGCUCUGGAAACUGCCUGGAUGGAGUACAGGUGAGGUAAGUGGAAUUCCGAGUGUAGCGGUGAAAUGCGUAGAUAUUAGGAGGAACACCAGUGGCGAAGGCGGCUUACUGGACUGUAACUGACGUUGAGGCUCGAAAGCGUGGGGAGCAAACAGGAUUAGAUACCCUUGUAGUC
RNAcentral lists this ribosomal RNA (458 nucleotides) under uncultured bacterium. RNAcentral describes it as "partial 16S ribosomal RNA". It matches the Rfam family "Bacterial small subunit ribosomal RNA", at positions 338 to 795 of the family's 1533-position model. The record is from RNAcentral.